This 274-nucleotide ribosomal RNA is filed under the name uncultured bacterium. RNAcentral's name for it is "partial 16S ribosomal RNA". It matches the Rfam family "Bacterial small subunit ribosomal RNA", at positions 523 to 796 of the family's 1533-position model. The record is from RNAcentral.
AUACGGAGGGUGCAGGCGUUACUCGGAAUCACUGGGCGUAAAGCGCGCGCAGGCGGCUAUUUAAGUUGGAUGUGAAAGCCUACGGCUCAACCGUAGAACUGCAUCCAAAACUAUUUAGCUAGAGUGUGGGAGAGGAAGAUGGAAUUAGUUGUGUAGGGGUAAAAUCCGUAGAGAUAACUAGGAAUACCAAAAGCGAAGGCAAUCUUAUGGAACACUACUGACGCUGAGGCGCGAAAGCGUGGGGAGCAAACAGGAUUAGAAACCCUAGUAGUCC